GGUAUACUUUAGGAGGGGCUUGCGCCAUAUUAGUUAGUUGGUAGGUAAUGGCCUACCAAGACGAUGAUGUGUAGCUGGACUGAGAGGUUGAACAGCCACAUUGGGACUGAGACACGGCCCAAACUCCUACGGGAGGCAGCAGUAAGGAAUUUUCGGCAAUGGAGGAAACUCUGACCGAGCAACGCCGCGUGAACGACGAAGUACUUUGGUAUGUAAAGUUCUUUUAUCAAGGAAGAAAAGCAAGUGGCGAACCAUUUGUUUGCCGGUACUUGAUGAAUAAGCCCCGGCUAAUUAUGUGCCAGCAGCCGCGGUAAGACAUAAGGGGCAAGUGUUAUCCGGAAUUAUUGGGCGUAAAGGGUGCGUAGGCGGUCUAGUAAGUCAGUGGUGUAAUGGCAACGCUCAACGUUGUCCGGCUAUUGAAACUGCUAAACUUGAGUUAGAUAGAGGCGAGUGGAAUUCCAUGUGUAGCGGUAAAAUGCGUAAAUAUAUGGAGGAACACCAGAGGCGUAGGCGGCUCGCUGGGUCUUAACUGACGCUGAGGCACGAAAGCGUGGGGAGCAAACAGGAUUAGAUACCCUGGUAGUCCACGCCGUAAACGAUGAGUACUAAGUGUCGGGUUAAACCGGUACUGAAGUUAACACAUUAAGUACUCCGCCUGAGUAGUACGUACGCAAGUAUGAAACUUAAAGGAAUUGACGGGACUCCGCACAAGCGGUGGAUCAUGUUGUUUAAUUCGAAGAUACCCGAAAAACCUUACCAGGUCUUGACAUGUUUUUGCGAAACGGUAGUAAUAUCGUAGAGGUUAUCAGAAACACAGGUGGUGCAUGGUUGUCGUCAGCUCGUGUCGUGAGAUGUUAGGUUAAGUCCUAAAACGAGCGAAACCCUUAUCGUUAGUUGCCAGCACGUUAUGGUGGGGACUUUAACGAGACUGCCAGUGAUAAACUGGAGGAAGGUGAGGAUCACGUCAAAUCAGCAUGCCCCUUAUGACCUGGGCUACAAACGUGAUACAAUGGCUGUUACAAAGGGUAGCUGAAACGUAAGUUCUUGGCCAAUCCCCAAAAACAGUCUCAGUCCGGAUUGAAGUCUGCAACUCGACUUCAUGAAGUUGGAAUCGCUAGUAAUCGCGAAUCAGCAUGUCGCGGUGAAUACGUUCUCGGGGUUUGUACACACCGCCCGUCAAACCACGAAAGUUGGCAAUACCCCAAAA
Molecule: ribosomal RNA, 1207 nt
Filed under: Carrot witches'-broom phytoplasma
Lineage: Bacteria; Bacillati; Mycoplasmatota; Mollicutes; Acholeplasmatales; Acholeplasmataceae
Description: bacterial SSU rRNA
Rfam family: Bacterial small subunit ribosomal RNA
Source: RNAcentral